Molecule: long non-coding RNA, 229 nt
Filed under: Brassica napus (rape)
Lineage: Eukaryota; Viridiplantae; Streptophyta; Magnoliopsida; Brassicales; Brassicaceae
Description: long non-coding RNA (BNAP_LNC015305)
Source: RNAcentral
GACGAGAAGGGACUAUCGAUGGUAAGCCAACGACGAGGAAAACAAUUUCAAAGACGACUAAACUCUGACCCAACCCAAAGAGAUUCAGUUGCUAACAUGAGCCGAAAUCUAAGGAAAAAGAGGAGAAAAAGGUGAGGAAAAACAAGAGCACAUAUGUGAGUCUUUUUCGGUGAUGGCGAGAAUCACAACAUAACGGAAAGGUAAACGAAAUGCAUAGAUGGUGACGGCU